This 497-nucleotide ribosomal RNA is filed under the name uncultured bacterium. Its description in RNAcentral is "partial 16S ribosomal RNA". It matches the Rfam family "Bacterial small subunit ribosomal RNA", at positions 28 to 507 of the family's 1533-position model. The record is from RNAcentral.
GAUGAACGCUGGCGGCGUGCCUAAUACAUGCAAGUCGAGCGAACAGACGAGGAGCUUGCUCCUCUGACGUUAGCGGCGGACGGGUGAGUAACACGUGGGUAACCUACCUAUAAGACUGGGAUAACUUCGGGACACCGGAGCUACUACCGGAUAAUAUCUUAAACCGCAUGGUUCACUAGUGAAAGACGGUUUUGCUGUCACUUAUAGAUGGAUCCGCGCCGCAUUAGCUAGUUGGUAAGGUAACGGCUUACCAAGGCAACGAUGCGUAGCCGACCUGAGAGGGUGAUCGGCCACACUGGAACUGAGACACGGUCCAGACUCCUACGGGAGGCAGCAGUAGGGAAUCUUCCGCAAUGGGCGAAAGCCUGACGGAGCAACGCCGCGUGAGUGAUGAAGGUCUUCGGAUCGUAAAACUCUGUUAUUAGGGAAGAACAAAUGUGUAAGUAACUAUGCACGUCUUGACGGUACCUAAACAGAAAGCCACGGCUAACUACGUG